CGCAACUAGAGAAAACCACGCGCAGCAAUGAAGACCCAAAGCAGCCAAAAAUAAAUAAAUACAUUUAUUAAAAAAAAAAAAAGACAGCAAACUACAUUUGCAUCCCUUAACUAGGGAAGGGCAACCAUCACGUUUCAAGGAAGCGUCUGGACUGCGGACGCUGUCCAUUAGCCUUGUAACUUUAAAAGGAAUUUAUCAAAUUUAGCAAAACAAGAGACAACUAACCCUGCAAUCAGGAGACCAGGAGUAAGGGAGUAAAAGAUGGCUCUGGCUGCACACCUAGUCGGGGCUGCGGCACCCAGAACUAGGAAGCUUUGCUCUCCUCUGGGUUUUGUCCCUCCCAGAUUUCUGAGCUCAGGAGCAGUCGCUCUGCACUGCAGCUUGAGCCAGUUGCGGAAGACCUAACCAAGCCCAGCCCAAAAGAAGGAACGGCUUCGGGGCUGUUUGUUUCUCUUUGAUAAAGGAGCCCUUCCUUGUUCUUGCUUUUCCUCUCUCUGGUAUUUGAUGCAAUAACCCCCCAGAAGCGAUUUAGAGUGACUGGUAAAACAAAGUAUACCAAAACCUCGCAGCAACCAAAAGGAUGAAGUUCCUUCUGGACUGCCUCCAGCUUCUGCCCUUACUGCUCAUCUGCACCUUGAGAGUCUCUCCUGAAGCUUUUCAUUCCGAAGAAGAGAAAAGCAGUCACCGGAGAAAUCGUCCUGAUUACUGGAGCUGGACAUGGAAUUGGGAGACUGACUGCCUAUGAAUUUGCCAAACUUAAAUGCAAACUGGUUCUGUGGGAUAUAGAUAAGGCAUGUGGGAUCUUAAUUCCCCAACCAGGGAUCAAACCCGUGCCCCCUGAAUUUGGAAUGUGAAGUCUUAACCACUGGACCGCCAGGCAAGUCCCUGAUCCCUCUGUCUUAAUCAUAUGGAAAAAGUUAAAGCCGGAUACGAGUUCGGAUUCUCCUCCUGUUAAGUCGAACGGAGCUCGAAAAAAUCACGGAGUGUGAUGUCUAAACACAAUGGAAUGAAAGAAGAAAAAUCUCUUAACUGAGAAAGGCUUCUGUGGAUGAGGAUCUAGGAGCUACGUAAAUGACUGGAGUGACGUGCUGAAGACCAGAGGUGGGUGGAGAGUAUUACCACUCCGCGUGAAGAGGUAACGGAGGCCAAAGGAAUGGCUGAAACGGAGCAGGAGAGAGUAGAGAAACUCCGCCGUGCAAGUCUUUCCAGCUGACCAACAAUGAACUCCUAGAAUACACCUAACAUAAGCAAGUACUGAGGAAGGUGUUCCCACCAAUCAGGAUACAGUGAAGUGUUGUAUUUAACUCAUAUGUCAUAAAAAAUCCUCCCCUGUAAUUUUCGUAGGGGUCUGGGAAAGGAUGGAGAAAGUCAUAUGUGCUCAGCUCGUGGAAUGUAAGCAGAAAUCCUAAAGCAUUGCUUUACCUAUUCUGGGUACUUGUGUGUGCUGUCUUGUGAAGCACCUGCUUAUGCAUUUUGCUCCAUUUUCUUUAGGGCUGCUCUUCUUCUGCGGCUUGGUUGUGAUUUCUUUUGUAAAUUAAGAAUACGAGCUCUCUGGCUUUUGUGCUGCAAACAUUUUCCUCAGAAGGUUGUUUGGUUUGCACUUUGCAUGACUGUGUGCUUGCUGUUUCAGGAAAUUUUGUUCGAUCACAUCUUUUCCUAUGUAUCAGUUGUCUUCAUUCUUUGGUUCCAUUUCUGAAUUCUCUGGUAUGUUUGAUCUGCUUGUGUUUGUUUGUUUUAUGUAUAGCUUUGUUGUUUGCAAUAAGCACGUAACGUUUACAAGAAUAGUACGAAAAACUCCCCGAAUAUUUAUAUUCUACCACAUUUGCUUUAUCUUUCUAUUAUUGGUAUUGUUAUUUUCUGAACCAUUUGAGAGUAAGUUGUACACACAAAGACUCUUUACUGCUAAAUAUUUCACUGUGUAUUUCCUAAACCUUAAAUAGCCUCACUGUGGUCAUCAAAAGAAGGAAAUUAGUAUGGAUUUAAUGCAUCCAUCUUGAGUUAAGACCUUAUUCAAAUUUUGCCUAUUUUCCUAAUAAUUUACUUUAUAGCAAUAAGGAACAAGGAAAAGAAGUCCCCUGCCCAGGAUCUACCCAGGAAUGUGCUCUGCUAGAUGUCAUCCCCUCUUAGUCAAUAAUCUGAAGCAAGCCCUUAGCCGUUUUUGUGUUUUAUGAUUUGACCCUUUGAAGAGUACAUUUUCUCUGUUGAGGUUUGUUUGACCUUACCUCGAGAUUAGACACAGUUUAUGCUUUUUGGGUUGGAACACGGAGUAAUGUUGAAUACUUCAUAGUGAUAUUAACAUUGAUCAUUUCGUUAAGGUAGUGUCUGACAGGUUCUCCACUGGAAGGAGAUUUUGAGACUAUAUAAAUACCUUGGUUUUAAUUACGGUAGAGAGUCUAGAGACAGCCACCACCAAAUCCUCCUGUACCACAUUGCAUGCUGCUUCUCACAUCAAGAGGUAGAAUCUAAUUUCCUCCCUUGAAUCUGAGCUGGCAGUGAUGAACGGCUUCACCAAUAGAAUGAGGUGGAAAGGAUGUUCUGGUGUCGCAGAGGCUAAAUCGCAAGUAGCUUCCCAGCCUCCACGUGGAUGUCUUGAAAGCAUUGCUCCCUGGCUAUCGCCUCUUAGAGCUCAGCUAUCGUGCUGUGAGAGGCCCAGGUUAUGUGGAGAGGUUCUGUGCAGGUGCCCAGGGUCACAGUCCUAGCUGAGCUCCCAGCUCCCAGUCAGCAUCAUUGAUAAGUGAGCUAGUUGAGGGGUUCAGUCCACACGAUGACUCCACCACCAGAUGCCAUCUGACUGCAGCCAUGUGAGUGACCCUGAGGAAGAACCAGAGAGCUGGGCCCUGACAAGCCACAGGGCUAUGAGAGGUGAUAAUAAUUUUUUGUCUUAAGCCUCUAAGUUUAGGUUGAUUUGUUGCACGGUAAUAGAUACAUACAACAACAGUUAGCUGGAACUGGGUUUCUGCUGUAAUAAAGACCGAAAACUUGCGGCAUUGGCCUUGGGACCAGGCAGCAAGUAAAUACUGGAAGGCCCUUGAGGACACAGCGAAAUCUGAGGGACAGUUAGGAAAUGAUUAUUGGAAGCUGGAGAAGUAAGGACUCUUGCUAUGUAGUCUCAGAAAGUUUGGCAAUAAUGUUGCCUCCAGAAAUGUGGCAGGUGGAAAUGAGCUAAUGGAUUUGGCCAAGGAGAUUCCAUGUAGAAUGUUCAAAGUCCCUCCUGUUUCUUUCAGCUACAUAUGCUAAAAGUAAAGGAUAGAGAGAAUUGAACUAAAAAGGGGUGCUCUUAAGUUUGGGGACAGUUCCCCGGGGAAUUAAGUUUUCUCAAGAUAAGAAAGGGCCUCUGGGUAAAGACCAAAUUGAGGACAUUAAUAGUAACACUGGUGUCAAGGUUAAAACAUAGUUAAGGGUGCAGCUGUAAUCCCCAUCGCUGAGUCGUCAGAAAGACUUGAGGGUGUGCCUUGCAGACCCAGUGAGGUGGACAGGAGCUUCUAAGAAUCUCAAGGACAUUUUCCCACAGUGACCUGACUCUCAGGCCAAGGUAGAGAAGUAGGUGCUUCCCAACGAGCUUUAGUUGUGGCUUUUGUAUAAAGGAGUGAACCCUAAUUAGAGUAGUGGGGAGCAUGUUAAGUUUUUAAGACGCAUUUUUAGAAGCACCAUCUGCUUGGAUUGAAAGGACAGGAGUAGUUCAAGGUGAAAAGGGCCUUAAGAGUCCCCAGCCGAUUCAGGCAGGAUACAUUUUGAGAAAGCUACUCAGCCAUUAAACACGGAUCAUUUCUUAUAGAAAAGGAAGUUUGGCUCACAAUGAAGAGCAGAGAGUCCA
Molecule: long non-coding RNA, 3814 nt
Organism: Aethalodelphis obliquidens (Pacific white-sided dolphin)
Lineage: Eukaryota; Metazoa; Chordata; Mammalia; Artiodactyla; Delphinidae
Exons: 6
Source: RefSeq, a predicted model, not a curated record